GUCCUUUUGAAUUUAAUUGAAGGUCUGACCUGCCCAGUGAUGAAUUUAACGGCCGCGGUAUACUGACCGUGCAAAGGUAGCAUAAUCAUUAGUCUUUUAAUAGAGGGCUGGAAUGAAUGGUUUAACGAGGAACUGACUGUCUCACUUUAUUUGUUUUAAAAUUUAAUUUUUUAGUCAAAAAGCUAAAAUUUUAUUGGAAGACGAGAAGACCCUAUAGAUCUUUAUAUAAUUUUUUAUAAUUAUUUUUAUAUUAAUGUGAUUAUAUUAAUUUGUAUUUUGUUGGGGUGACAAAAAUAUAUAAUUAACUUUUUUAUUUAUUUACCAUUGAUAUAUGAAUAUUAGAUCCAUUACUAGUGAUUGUUAGAUUAAGUUACCUUAGGGAUAACAGCGUAAUCCUCCUCCAGAGUUCAUAUUUACAGGAAGGGCUUGCGACCUCGAUGUUGGAUUAAGAUAAUAGUUAGGUGUAGCCGCUUAAUUUAUAGGUCUGUUCGACCUUUAAAAUCUU
RNAcentral lists this ribosomal RNA (505 nucleotides) under Leucorrhinia dubia. Its description in RNAcentral is "partial 16S rRNA". It matches the Rfam family "Bacterial large subunit ribosomal RNA", at positions 1819 to 2597 of the family's 2925-position model. The record is from RNAcentral. Lineage: Eukaryota; Metazoa; Arthropoda; Insecta; Odonata; Libellulidae.